GAGAGAGAUUGAAAGAGAGAGAGGUGACCAGUGUGGUGACAAGCGGGGGUAGUGGCGACUACAGUGAAGAUGGAGACCGGGAAAAAUGGAUCUGAGAAACAGAAACAAGGACGACGUUGGCAAGUAUAGAUGGCGACGAGCUCAAUAUCCGUGACGACGACAAAGACCAGUCUUCUUCAACACUUUUUUUUUUCUCCGACAAUCUUCUUUUCUUCUUUGACGUUUCUUCUUCUCUCACUUCUAAGAUUUACAAACCAAAUAUACUAAGGCAUAACAAAUGAAUGAUAAUGUAUGAAUCUCUCUUGUUUACAAGACAGAAAGUGAGAGAGAUGAAGAAGAUCUGGAACUGUAAAGAACUCUCGAAGGAAAGACACUACAAGAAAACACAAAUUUAACGAUGGCGGUUUUCCUCG
This 413-nucleotide long non-coding RNA is filed under the name Brassica napus (rape). Its description in RNAcentral is "long non-coding RNA (BNAP_LNC014882)". Lineage: Eukaryota; Viridiplantae; Streptophyta; Magnoliopsida; Brassicales; Brassicaceae. The record is from RNAcentral.